CCGACCGGCGCACGGGUGAGUAACGCGUAUGCAACUUACCUAUCAGAGGGGGAUAACCCGGCGAAAGUCGGACUAAUACCGCAUGAAGCAGGGGCCCCGCAUGGGGAUAUUUGCUAAAGAUUCAUCGCUGAUAGAUAGGCAUGCGUUCCAUUAGGCAGUUGGCGGGGUAACGGCCCACCAAACCGGCGAUGGAUAGGGGUUCUGAGAGGAAGGUCCCCCACAUUGGUACUGAGACACGGACCAA
RNAcentral lists this ribosomal RNA (244 nucleotides) under uncultured bacterium. RNAcentral's name for it is "partial 16S ribosomal RNA". It matches the Rfam family "Bacterial small subunit ribosomal RNA", at positions 91 to 334 of the family's 1533-position model. The record is from RNAcentral.